UCUCAUAGGGAAGUUCAGAGAUGGAAGGUGGGACAGAGAAGAGCAUGGUCUCCUCGUAAGGGUUGGUUGUGGAACUCCUGUCAGAGGUCCCUGCGAGGGAGGACAAAGUGAGAGCGGACAAGUGCAUUCUUGGCUGCUGCUGUUCUUACUGGUGAGGGGAGCAGUGCUGUGGGCCUUCAGAGAUGGGCCUGUUCCCUGCAUGGGUACUCUCUGGGACCCAAAGAGGUCAUGUAAGUCUCCAUGAAAGGACUUUGAGAAGUCAGAGCUGCCAAACACACUGAGAGAUCACAUUUAAGGGAGCCUGAACCCUGUACCUCCACACCACCCAUCACCCAUUCCAAUCCUGGGACUGCAAAGGCUCCUGCAGCAUCAUCCUCAAGCAUGGAUUUCCACCUGAAAAAAGGAAAGCAUUACCUUGAGAUAAGAUGAGGCAGGGUUUGGUAUGAAGAAGUAAUCUUGAAUUCUAUUGGAAAAAGAACAGAAAGACAAUAUUGGGGAAAAAAAGAAGGUAUCUUUUUUUUCUAUUUAAAAAUGUGUUGUUAAGUACGUGAUGCUGGAGUUGGGGUAGAGAGGCCUCAGUUUAUAGAAUUCCUUUAUU
Mustela erminea (ermine) is the source of this 598-nucleotide long non-coding RNA. RefSeq lists it as uncharacterized. The transcript is spliced from 4 exons. The record is from RefSeq and is a predicted model, not a curated record. Lineage: Eukaryota; Metazoa; Chordata; Mammalia; Carnivora; Mustelidae.